This 253-nucleotide ribosomal RNA is filed under the name uncultured bacterium. RNAcentral describes it as "partial 16S ribosomal RNA". It matches the Rfam family "Bacterial small subunit ribosomal RNA", at positions 524 to 776 of the family's 1533-position model. The record is from RNAcentral.
CACGUAGGAGGCGAGCGUUAUUCGGAUUUACUGGGCGUAAAGCGCGUGUAGGCGGCUCAAUAAGUUGGAUGUGAAAGCUCCCGGCUUAACUGGGAGAGGACGUUCAAAACUAUAGAGCUUGAGUGUGAGAGAGGAAAAUGGAAUUCCGGGUGUAGUGGUGAAAUGCGUAGAUAUCCGGAGGAACACCAGUGGCGAAGGCGAUUUUCUGGCUCGCAACUGACGCUCAGACGCGAAAGCUAGGGUAGCAAACGGG